GCAUAUCAAUAAGCGGAGGAAAAGAAACUAACAAGGAUUCCCCUAGUAACUGCGAGUGAAGCGGGAAAAGCUCAAAUUUAAAAUCUGGCAGUCUUGGCUGUCCGAGUUGUAUUCUAGAGAAGUGCUUUCUGUGCUGGACCGUGUACAAGUCUCUUGGAACAGAGCGUCAUAGAGGGUGAGAAUCCCGUCUUUGACACGGACUACCAGUGCUAUGUGAUGCGCUCUCAAAGAGUCGAGUUGUUUGGGAAUGCAGCUCAAAAUGGGUGGUAAAUUCCAUCUAAAGCUAAAUAUUGGCGAGAGACCGAUAGCGAACAAGUACCGUGAGGGAAAGAUGAAAAGCACUUUGGAAAGAGAGUUAAACAGUACGUGAAAUUGCUGAAAGGGAAACACUUGAAGUCAGUCGCGUUGGCCAGAACUCAGCCUUGCUUUUGCUUGGUGCACUUUCUGAUUAACGGGCCAGCAUCAGUUUUGACUACAGGAAAAAGAUUAGAGGAAUGUGGCACCUUCGGGUGUGUUAUAGCCUUUAGUUGCAUACUGUGGUUGGGACUGAGGAUCUCAGCACGCGCAAGUUGUGCUUAGGAUGCUGGCGUAAUGGCUUUAAAUGACCCGUCUUGAAACACGGACCAAGGAGUCUAACAUGCCUGCGAGUAUUUGGGUGGAAAACUCGAAUGCGUAAUGAAAGUGAAAGUUGGGAUCUCUGUCGUGGGGAGCACCGACGCCCGGACCAGACCUUCUGUGACGGCUCCGAGGUAGAGCAUGUAUGUUGGGACCCGAAAGAUGGUGAACUAUGCCUGAAUAGGGUGAAGCCAGAGGAAACUCUGGUGGAGGCUCGUAGCGAUUCUGACGUGCAAAUCGAUCGUCAAAUUUGGGUAUAGGGGGCGAAAGACUAAUCGAACCCAUCUAGUAGCUGGGUUCCUGCGA
Molecule: ribosomal RNA, 921 nt
Filed under: Ceriporia reticulata
Lineage: Eukaryota; Fungi; Basidiomycota; Agaricomycetes; Polyporales; Irpicaceae
Description: LSU rRNA
Rfam family: Eukaryotic large subunit ribosomal RNA
Source: RNAcentral